This 274-nucleotide ribosomal RNA is filed under the name uncultured bacterium. RNAcentral's name for it is "partial 16S ribosomal RNA". It matches the Rfam family "Bacterial small subunit ribosomal RNA", at positions 523 to 796 of the family's 1533-position model. The record is from RNAcentral.
AUACGGAGGGUGCAAGCGUUAAUCGGAAUUACUGGGCGUAAAGCGUACGUAGGCGGCAAGUUAAGUUAGAUGUGAAAGCCCCGGGCCCAACCGGGGAACUGCAUUUAAAACUGGCGAACUAGAGUUGAGUAGAGGGGAGUGGAAUUUCAGGUGUAGCGGUGAAAUGCGUAGAGAUCUGAAGGAACACCAGUGGCGAAGGCGACUCCCUGGACUCGAACUGACACUGAGGUACGAAAGCGUGGGUAGCAAACGGGAUUAGAAACCCUAGUAGUCC